Long non-coding RNA from Neopelma chrysocephalum (saffron-crested tyrant-manakin), 308 nucleotides. RefSeq lists it as uncharacterized. The record is from RefSeq and is a predicted model, not a curated record. NCBI's taxonomy places the organism in Eukaryota, Metazoa, Chordata, Aves, Passeriformes, Pipridae. The transcript has 3 exons.
UUUCAAGGCGCCUGCGGAGCGAGUGCCCCGAGAGGCGUCGCCUGGCGCUCCGAGGCCUGGUGGUGAUCAGCAAGGCUCCCGCAAUGGCUAAGAGCAUCUGGAGCCUGAAUGAAAGCCUCCUGGAGCUACUCCAGGAUGCAGACACAGACGCGGUUGAGAUGACCCUCUCUGCAUUCAUCAAUGUGCUACACUUGAAGACCAUCCAAAUAUCCAGUCCCACUGCCCUGAAGUUGCUUGAGGUGCUGCGGCCACUCUUUGACAACGAGCACAGCCAGCUGCAGCAGCUCUCCAUGGUCCUCUUCCGGGAG